UACGAAGGGGGCUAGCGUUGCUCGGAAUGACUGGGCGUAAAGGGCUCGUAGGCGGCCAACUAAGUCACACGUGAAAUCCCCAGGCUUAACCUGGGAACUGCGUGUGAUACUGGAUGGCUUGAAUCCGGGAGAGGGAUGCAGAAUUCCAGGUGUAGCGGUGAAAUGCGUAGAUAUCUGGAGGAAUACCGGUGGCGAAGGCGGCAUCCUGGACUGGCAUUGACGCUGGAUGAGCGAAAGCUAGGGGAGCAAACGGG
Molecule: ribosomal RNA, 254 nt
Filed under: uncultured bacterium
Lineage: Bacteria
Description: partial 16S ribosomal RNA
Rfam family: Bacterial small subunit ribosomal RNA
Source: RNAcentral